CAAUCAUCACACCUGCCCACCAAUCACUACUUAAACCCUGCUUCAAUUGAUUCCAUUUAAGCGUUAUGAAAAGACAGGUGCAAGAGAAAAAGGAGGACGGAUGGUGUAGCCUACUUUCCAUACAAUUAUUUCCAGUCUUUGUACGUUUCACACACUGGACAAGAGGGGCGUCGGGAAAAGAAACUGAUGGCUGUGUGUAAAAGAUUUGAACUUCAGAUGGCAACUGUUGUGUGUCUGAUGAUUACGAUAUAUAUGAUGGUCUACCAUAAUGUUCAUGGAGAGCUAAUCCAAGAGGUUCCCACUCAACAAAAACUGAGGACUACGUCUGUAUUAUCCAGAAUGCUGUUUGCUUCGCCUAACUCUCCUCUGCAGUAUCCUAUUCAGGGUUUUAAAGUACGGCCUUUGACCUCCACUCUCAUACCAGGUCUUUUCGGAUAAAUUCCCCCACACUGUAAGAGGUUAAUGAGCUCUCUCCAACCGAACUCGGCACAGCAGGAAAGUCAGAAAACCAACCUGCAUGUGAAUGAUUCUUACAGUAUCUGAUGCCCACUGCUGGUUUAUAGUAUGAAAAGCCCCUUCAAUUCAUGAAACCUCUGCAGCAUUUGAAGGCAGCAGGAAUGAAGCUGAUAAAGCUAUAAAUAAAUAAAGCUAUGUCAAGUAACGUGGCAGUCUUUCUUGAUAUUGAAAAUUGAUAUUAAUCGUAUUAUAUGGUGCUGGGAUUAGAGGGAUAAUGUUUAAUUGGAUUUAGAAUGUAUUAUGCAAUAGAUCAAUACAGGUAAGAGCUGGU
RNAcentral lists this long non-coding RNA (787 nucleotides) under Cottoperca gobio. RNAcentral describes it as "lncRNA (ENSCGOG00000017785.1)". Lineage: Eukaryota; Metazoa; Chordata; Actinopteri; Perciformes; Bovichtidae. The record is from RNAcentral.